UUCAGUGCUGAUUUGCUACCUCCAUAUUUUUGGCUAAGUCCCUGAAAGUGACAGCAGUGAGUUAGCUCCUUUAUGACAUUUUAUUAUCCAAAUUCAUAUAGUAACUCAAUUGGAUUCCUUAAUAUGAGUUGGAGUACCCUUCUUGAUUAAAGCAAUGGAUCAAGUGUCAUUAAAUUUGGAGUUCAUUUGGAUAUCUAAAAGUAGCUCCUAAAACAGCAAAAGAUUAUUUUAUCGCUAAACGGACGUGUACCCGUUGGCAUGCCGCGUUCUCAUGUUUUUGUUAAGCAACUAAAGUUAGUCCAAUAAUAAAAGUGGUGGGCCAUUACUUGGAGAAGGUCAUGUAAAAAGUUACAUCAUGUUUGACAUGGUUUGGACCAUCAAUUCUUGGUUUUGCUAAUCAUCGUCAAUACAUUGACACUCGUGAUUUGGCAUCAAAUUAUCUCCUAAUCUGUUGGUCUAAUGACUGAGCACCCUUAACCAAAGUUGUAGUGGACGUCGGGGUGAGCAAAUUUCAUUUUUGACCCAUCUUCAAAUUCGGCCCGGAACAAGCCCAAAAUCGGCUCCCACCUUGCCUACUCCGACGCGCGCCACGUGCUCGGCUCGUGGCUCCACCCAUUAGUCCCUAUUCGUAGUAUGGCUCGAGACUAAACGUCCCUCAGCGUGAGCUUCGAAAUUACAGGAGGCCUUAAAUCCCAGUUCGUCUCACAGGCCGAGACUAAAAGCCCAAAACUUGCAAUUCCCGGCAGUUAAGGGGGAGUGUUUGGUGUUUAUUUUUUCUUUUUUUUAAAACAUAUCCAAUAUUUUUAAUUAUAUCAUAAAUUAAAUACUUGACAUAAUAUUGUGAAAAAAAUAAUAUGGAUUUCCUUUUGCUUUAUGGCACAUAAGAAAAAAUUGUAACCUAAUAUCUUUUAUUUUUUAAAAAAUAAUGAAUAUAAAUGUUACUAAUUACGUGUAUUUUGUUAAUGCAAAAAUAUAUUCUUCACUUAAACUAUAUAAUACUAUUUAUUUUUAACAGAAAAUGUAUUUCCACAUA
This 1033-nucleotide long non-coding RNA is filed under the name Sorghum bicolor (sorghum). Its description in RNAcentral is "long non-coding RNA (SBIC_LNC006450)". Lineage: Eukaryota; Viridiplantae; Streptophyta; Magnoliopsida; Poales; Poaceae. The record is from RNAcentral.